Molecule: ribosomal RNA, 482 nt
Filed under: uncultured bacterium
Lineage: Bacteria
Description: partial 16S ribosomal RNA
Rfam family: Bacterial small subunit ribosomal RNA
Source: RNAcentral
GACGAACGCUGGCGGCGUGCUUAACACAUGCAAGUCGAACGGAAAGGCCUUUUCGGAGGUACUCGAGUGGCGAACGGGUGCGUAACACGUGGGUGAUCUGCCCUGCACUCUGGGAUAAGCCUGGGAAACUGGGUCUAAUACCGGAUAGGACCGCACCUUCGUGUGUGUGGUGGAAAGUUUUUUCGGUGUAGGAUGAGCCCGCGGCCUAUCAGCUUGUUGGUGGGGUAAUGGCCUACCAAGGCGGGGACGGGUAGCCGGACGGAGAGGUUGGUCGGCCACAUUGGAACGGGGACACGGGCCGGACGCCUACGGGAGGCACGACAGGGGAAGAUGGGACAAUGGGGGCAAGCGUGAUCCAGGCAUGCCGCGUGGGUGAGGAAGGCCUUCGGGUUUUAGAGCCCUUUUGUGGGGAAAGAAAAGCAGCAGGUGAAUACCGCGCUGUUCUGACGGUACCCAAAGAAUAAGCACCGGCUAACUUCGUG